UUGGACUGGUGUAGGGAUUUCCUAGUGC
This 28-nucleotide non-coding RNA is filed under the name Rattus norvegicus (Norway rat). The record is from RNAcentral. Lineage: Eukaryota; Metazoa; Chordata; Mammalia; Rodentia; Muridae.